AUGUUGUAUUAUUUCUCUCGAACUGUAUUUAUAGCCCGAUGGUGUUUCGAGCCGUUUGUUCAAGCUUCAGCGGCCUUCAGUCAGCGCGUGGUCACAGUGUCCAGAGAAAUUUAUAUCAGAAGAGAAAUUCUGCAAGGGGUGCCCAAACUUUCGAGCCCCACUGUAUAUAAAAUGUUUUUAGGUCAGAUAGCAAAUGUUGCCAUUCUUCUGGAAAACUGCUGGUCUUUAAAGAACAGUCAUCAAUCAGGAUCCUCUGUUCCCAGGCCCAACCAUUCAUCUGAAGGACUGUGAAAAUAUGAACCCUUUGAACCACCGGUGACAGUUUCCACAUGAUAAAUAGAAAGGACAUGGCAGAGGACGAUAGGGGUAUUGAUAUUUCACUGAAAUUAAAUAUAAUUUAAUUACAUUUAGUCUGCUAGUCAGAAUUAUAGCUGAUUGAAUAAAAAUAAAUAGUGGUUCA
Cyprinus carpio (common carp) is the source of this 460-nucleotide long non-coding RNA. The record is from Ensembl. Lineage: Eukaryota; Metazoa; Chordata; Actinopteri; Cypriniformes; Cyprinidae.